Molecule: transfer RNA, 66 nt
Filed under: Stenamma diecki
Lineage: Eukaryota; Metazoa; Arthropoda; Insecta; Hymenoptera; Formicidae
Description: tRNA-Arg
Source: RNAcentral
ACUCUCAAAGUAAUAGUUACAUUUUAAUUUCGACUUAAAACUUUGAUUAAAUCUAAUCUGAGAGAA